RNAcentral lists this transfer RNA (87 nucleotides) under Oxalicibacterium faecigallinarum. Its description in RNAcentral is "tRNA-Leu". It matches the Rfam family "tRNA". Rfam says of the family: Transfer RNA (tRNA) molecules are approximately 80 nucleotides in length. Their secondary structure includes four short double-helical elements and three loops (D, anti-codon, and T loops). Further hydrogen bonds mediate the characteristic L-shaped molecular structure. tRNAs have two regions of fundamental functional importance: the anti-codon, which is responsible for specific mRNA codon recognition, and the 3' end, to which the tRNAs corresponding amino acid is attached (by aminoacyl-tRNA synthetases). tRNAs cope with the degeneracy of the genetic code in two manners: having more than one tRNA (with a specific anti-codon) for a particular amino acid; and 'wobble' base-pairing, i.e. permitting non-standard base-pairing at the 3rd anti-codon position. The record is from RNAcentral. Lineage: Bacteria; Pseudomonadati; Pseudomonadota; Betaproteobacteria; Burkholderiales; Oxalobacteraceae.
GCCCUGAUGGUGAAAUUGGUAGACACAAGAGACUUAAAAUCUCUCGCUCGAAAGGGCGUGCCGGUUCGAUUCCGGCUCGGGGCACCA